GCUGGGGACGCUGGACUCUGGAGUGAAAAUGACCCACGCUCUCCUCUGCUCCCGUUUUCACCUUGGGCAUCAUUGUCAUCAUCAUUAUGAGCAGCAGCCGGAAAAGCAUUAAUGGAGCACCUGCUGUAUGCCAGGCCUUGCGCCUGCUGCGCUUGUAACGGCAAUUCUCAUGCAGCCUGCACAGCAGCCUGUAGCCUGUUUCUAUUGUUAGCUGAGGACACCCAGGCUUAGAAAUGGAGUCACCUGCCUGGUGUCCCCAGCUGGUGAGGGCUUGGGCCAGGUGCACCCUGUCUGUUUGACCCCAAAGCCAGGGCUCAGCACCGCUGGGCAGAUGAUUACUGCAAUGUCACACAUAAUGUGAAAAUUGGGAGGCGCUGAGGAAGCCUGAGGCACUGGUCCCUUUCUUCUGGUGACAUGCUGGGUGACUUUGGACAGAUCUAUCAACCCCUCUGAGUAUUCGAUGUCCGUCUUUGCCAGUCGGCUGAAGCUGGGAGACCGAGUGCCUGCGGGGAGCCUCCAGCCCCCAGUUCCUUUCAAUCAUCACCAGCGUGCCUCACACUUACCACCAGGUGGCAGCAGAGGACUUGCCUGGCCGCCGAGACCUUGGCCGCAGGAGACUUGCCGAACCUCAGCCUUAAAGGUCACCUUCACUCUUCAAGACAGUGGGAAGCGGCCGCAGCAAACAUCCGCAGAGGGCCUGGCUCCGGGAGCCUCUGGACUGCGUGCUGCCAAGCUGUGGGAGACCCACCCUGACCCCCGGGGAGCUAGUGUCCAGCAGGGGAGACUGAGAUGGGAAGACACAAAAGCCGUGCUGGAAGCCAGCGGUGUUUCUUUACCAUGAGCAGUUUUGGGGUUUCAUUUGCUUGUGUGUAAAAUCACUUGAAAAAGGAGGCGUCACUGUCUGGAAGGCCAGGGCUGUGCUGGGGUCCCUGGGGGCUCUGGCGGGGUUUCCUCCGCGCAGAAUGACGUCACUCCCCGGCUUCCGGCCCAGGUCAGCUCUUCCUAGGAAGCCUCUUGUGAAGAGCAGCCCCCGUCCCGCCCACAUCCGCAGAGGCCUGUGAGUGGGGCAGGGCGGUCGCCGUUUGCACACAGCAGCAUCUGGAGGGAUGAGCUCGCCUGAUUCCAUGCAGAAUCGAACUCAGCUCCGUGGUUCACACUUGUUUCCAGAGAUGCCAACAAGCUGCUCUUCCCCGAGUCCCCGCAGGUGUGCACCUUUGGGAAGGUAUCAGAUAGUGACCUCCUGGGCUGGGCUGUGCCUGUGUGCACCUGUCACGAGCAGGGCUGUGGGGGUGGAGAUGUUAACCAUCUCACCAGAGGAGGGCUGGACUGGAUCCAAGAAACUUUUUUCCCCCUGGGAUGGAAUUUGAAAGUGGAAAAAAAGUCACAUAAAAAUCAGUGUAGCUAAUUAACAAGAAUACAUGGAACAGUCUCCGUCGUUUUCCAAGUCUGCUAUGCUGCGGCACAUAAGUAGAGGUUGAAACAACAAUGGCAACAGCGGUGAGAAAGGAUACGGGGCCUGCUGAGAUCUGCAUCCUGUCCUUAAGGGCCUGAUGGUUUUGAAUUGUCCUCCAAGGCCACUGCCGUGGUUGGAGAGGCCGACGUGUCAUCAGCACAGCUAAAACAGACAACUCGGGAAAUAUGGGAACCUGGGGGAGACUGGAGCCCAAGUCGCUGCAAAUCCUUGAUGAGGAGACACAAGAAACCACUACUUCAAAGCUGGAGGCAGCUUCUGCACAGAACAGAUUCAUGUUUGCAUUUGGGGAUGACUGUCUGCUCACUCUGGGACGUCCAUGGUUCUGCACAUGUGUAGCCGGGGGACAUGUUUCUGUUCUUGGAAGACCUGGAAGAUUUAUAUUGUUUUAUUUUUUUUUAAUUCUUUUUGAGGCAGAGUCUCACUCUGUCGCCCAGGCUGGAGUACAGUGGUGCAAUCUCAGCUCACUGCAACCUUCACCUCCCAGGUUCAAGCGAUUCUCUUGUCUCAGACUCUUGAGUAGCUGGGACUACAGGUGCACGCCACCAUGCCUGGCUGAUGUUUUGUGUUUUUAUUAGAGACAGGGAUUCACCAUAUUGGUCAGGCCGGUUUCGAACUCUUGACCUCAGGUGAUCCACCUGCCUCGGCCUCCCAAAUUGCUGGGAUUACAGGUGUGAGCCACUGCCCCUGGCUGGAAGCCUUUAGUGGUGUAAACUGUGGGUGGGUUUUAGCAGAUCCGUGUCUCCGUGGGUUAUGUUUUCUCCGUGUCUCCGUGGGUUAUGUUUUCUUUACAUCAGAUAUUUCUUUCCUCACUACCUGGAAGAGGUACCCGUUCUUUCCAAGCAUGGGUUAAUGAGAAGGAAGCAACAAAAGGCUGGGAGAGAACACAUGGAGGGAAGCUGCCGUUGGUCUCGAAGCUGUGCCAUGGCGGGUACCGUCUCCCCUCUGAUGAAUUUAUAACCCCCUAUGUGCUACCAUUUCAGGUUAAACCAACUUGACCAAGGACUUCCAGUUUCUUGGAAAAUGAUAGUUUUGCUAACCUUCCUGCUGAUUAUAAACUCUGGACAAAAUAGAAACAACCAUUAUUUGAAGGCAUUGGAAAGUGACAUAAAGCAUGAAAAAAAAAAAAAACUCAAGCUAAAGAGGUAUGACCCUUGCAAAAAAGGGAGCCAUGCUUAUCUGGGUUUUGUUCUCAGAUCCUUCUUCAGACCGCCCCAUAUGGAAUGGAGCUGAAGUGGAACAGUAGUUUUGUUGGGCUGAGAGGUCAGAGGCCAGAGUUCAAGGCUGCCAAAAAACAACAACAAAAAAAGGGAGCCACAGAGAGGGGAGCUCCUAAAUCUAGCACAAAUUUCCCUGAAACCCUUGGCUGAUAACUAAAGUUUGCAUGUGCAAGCCAAGACUCCAGAAAGCCCAGAAAGCAGGAACAGCUGGAGGCUGAGAGCUGGGCAGACAUUUCAGCAUCUGGCUAGUCCCGGAAAGACCAAGUUUGGAGUUCAUGUGAUAAGCACCUUGAGCUUUUCAUCAGAAACCCUGGGAUAGAGUAAGUUUUUCUAUGUGCUGAAGUAAAGUCAUUGUUAAUUAUAUAGUCAGAAGACAGAAGGAUACUAUAUUCAAACUGCUGAGAGAACAAUCAGUCCCCUACAUACCCAGCUAAACUAUCACUCGAGAAUGAUAGCAAAAUAAAGAUGUUUCAGAUACACAAAAACCAGAAGUUCACCAACAGCAUACAAAAGAUACAUACCAAAGGACUUCUAUUUGAUGGCUUUUAAAGUGAUCUAAAACAUUGGUCAGGUGGGAUUUAAAGAUGACCAGGAUUUUGUGCUAUUCUGUAGAGAUAUUUAGACUUUAAGUUAGCAAUGCCUGCUAAAAUUUAAAAAGAUACUUUUCAAAAUAGAUGGAAUAAAGGAAUUUUACAAAACUUUUAA
Long non-coding RNA from Homo sapiens (human), 3396 nucleotides. RefSeq lists it as uncharacterized. NCBI's taxonomy places the organism in Eukaryota, Metazoa, Chordata, Mammalia, Primates, Hominidae. The record is from RefSeq and is a predicted model, not a curated record. The transcript is spliced from 3 exons.